Long non-coding RNA from Mustela putorius furo (domestic ferret), 1776 nucleotides. NCBI's taxonomy places the organism in Eukaryota, Metazoa, Chordata, Mammalia, Carnivora, Mustelidae. The record is from Ensembl.
UUUCAUUUUCUUAAUAUUGCCUUCUUUUUUUUUUUUUAAGAUUUUUAUGUAUUUACUUAACAGAAAGAGAGCCGAGCAUGGGGAUCUGCAGGCAGAGAAGAAGGAGAAGCAGGCUCCCACUGAGCAAAGAGCCUAAUGCAGGGCUCAAUCCCAGGACCCUGGGAUCAUGACCCAAGCUGAAGGCAGAUUCUUAACCAAAGAGAGACACAGCAAGAGAGGGAACACAAGACAGGGAGUGGGAGAGGAAGAAGCAAGCUUUCCACCAAGUAGGGAGCCCAACGCAGGGCCCAAUCCCAGGACCCCAGGAUCAUGACCCAAGCCGAAGGCAGACACCCAAUGACUAAGCCACCCAGGUUAUUUGUGGCUUUGAAUUCACAGGGAUCAAGCCCUGCAUCGAGUCCUGCGUCAGGCUCUCUGCUUGGGUAGAUUCUUUCCAGGAGAAUUUAAUAAUUAAGGGUCAGCUCUGGGCCAGCUGGCAGCCUCUGUGGUCCCUCACAAGGUGGCACAUCCACGGAAGACCGAGUCUAGCUGUCUCCCCUCUUGAUUCAAGUCAUCCAAGGAUCCUUUUCUUGAAAGUCAUGAAACUAACACAACGGACUGUCAGGGUCAGCAACAGCAGGCGCUUGCUCUGUUUUGUUUUAAAAUUUAAAAAGCUUUUCUUAUGCUGGAACAAAUGCGUAUCUGAGGUUGCUAAAAGACUCACUGCCAAGCCAGUUUUGCAUACAGUCUAAACUGGGAAAGGAGCCCUUGUUGGGAUGAUGGCCAAGGAGCUGGUCAGUUGUGGAUGUAGCUUAAAAGGUCAUUGGCUUACUCGCAAGAAUGCUGGCAGCCUCAACAUUUGCUACAAAUUCCUCUCAUUAGUCAAUUGUUUUUUAAUUUCUUUCCCACUGUUAAACCCAAGAAUGUCUUUUGCCUGAGUGUACUAUUCUCAGCUGAUCUCUUUUCCCUGAGAUGUUAGGAAUGAGGCCUUGCAGCAUCCUCUGUGAGUCACAGGUCAGGAGGCAGGAAGUCUUUCAAGUUCUUUGCAUACAGCCUCUAUCCUCCCUGUCUCAGAAGGGCAUUGAUAGCAUUUCUGAGCCUUAGACCCAGAAGUAUCAGAAUUAGAAAGGAUCUCAGAAAGCCUUCUGAGAGAGUUAUGAACCAUGCUGGUUUCCCUGGUACUAAAAGCUUGCUGGGACAUAGAACUUUCAGUGCUGAAACGGGGACUCCUAAGCAAACUGGGAUACGUGGUCACACUACACUGGUUUUUUGUUGUUGUUGUUGGUUUACACUUAACUGUUCUGCAGAGAAGAAACUGCGGCCCAGGAGUCUGACUUGCCCAAGCUAACAGAAUUAGUCAGUGGCAGAUCUCGAAUUAGAAUCCAGAUCCAUGGGUGCUAGAAUCCAGUUCCUUUUCUUUGCUGGUACUUCCUUAUAUUCAGUCACAGGGUGCAUCGCGCACAAUAGGUGCUUAUGUUUUUGUUGUGGUUGUUUUCUGAGUUCAAGGGCAUUGAUUUUUGCAGAUACAGUAAUUCUUAAUUCACUCAAGGUCCCCAUGAAUCAAUUGUGAAACCAGGUCUCUGGUUUCUAGACUCUGAACAGAACAGGGUGAACAAAGGGGAGGAAAGCUCAGUGAGGAAUAGAAGUGCUUGUGCAGGGACGCCUGGGUGGCUCAGUUGGUUGGACGACUGCCUUCGGCUCUGGUCAUGAUCCUGGAGUCCCGGGAUCGAGUCCCACAUCGGACUCCCAGCUCCAUGGGGAGUCUGCUUCUCUCUCUGACCUUCUCCUCAUUCAUGN